RNAcentral lists this ribosomal RNA (283 nucleotides) under uncultured bacterium. RNAcentral describes it as "partial 16S ribosomal RNA". It matches the Rfam family "Bacterial small subunit ribosomal RNA", at positions 773 to 1060 of the family's 1533-position model. The record is from RNAcentral.
GUGGAUUAGAUACCCUGGUAGUCCACGCCCUAAACGAUGAUAACUCGAUGUUUGCGAUAUACAGUAAGCGUCCAAGCGAAAGCGUUAAGUUAUCCACCUGGGGAGUACGCCCGCAAGGGUGAAACUCAAAGGAAUUGACGGGGGCCCGCACAAGCGGAGGAGCAUGUGGUUUAAUUCGAUGAUACGCGAGGAACCUUACCCGGGCUUGAAAGUUACUGAAGGAUGCAGAGACGCAUCCGUCCUUCGGGACAGGAAACUAGGUGCUGCACGGUCGUCGCCAGCU